GACGAACGCUGGCGGCGUGCUUAACACAUGCAAGUCGAACGGAAAGGCCUGCUUUCCCUUGUGGAUUGCGGGUACUCGAGUGGCGAACGGGUGAGUAACACGUGAGUGAUCUGCCCCCAACUUGGGUAUAAGCCUGGGAAACUGGGUCUAAUUCCCGAUAGGGCUGCAGGGUGGUGCCUGUGGUGGAAAACGAUUUUCUAGUGGUUGGGGAUGAGCUCGCGGCCUAUCAGCUUGUUGGUGGGGUAAUGGCCUACCAAGGCGGCGACGGGUAGCCGGCCUGAGAGGGUGGACGGCCACAUUGGGACUGAGAUACGGCCCAGACUCCUACGGGAGGCAGCAGUGGGGAAUAUUGCACAAUGGGCGGAAGCCUGAUGCAGCGACGCCGCGUGGGGGAUGACGGCCUUCGGGUUGUAAACUCCUUUCGACCGCGAGGAAGCCACCUGGUUGGAAGGGUGGUGACGGUAGUGGUAGAAGAAGCACCGGCUAACUACGUG
Molecule: ribosomal RNA, 494 nt
Filed under: uncultured bacterium
Lineage: Bacteria
Description: partial 16S ribosomal RNA
Rfam family: Bacterial small subunit ribosomal RNA
Source: RNAcentral